AUUUAUGAAAUACUAACUGUUUUUCCUUUUGUAUGUGCAGGUUGCAAGAAUUAUUAUAUGAAUACUGACCUACUCUAUAAAAUUUAACAGCUACAUAUGACCGAGAUAUGCUGAGCUGAGAUUUUGCAGAAGUGACGCUUUUUCAAGUUUUCAAAUUUAGUA
Molecule: small RNA, 162 nt
Filed under: Arabidopsis thaliana (thale cress)
Lineage: Eukaryota; Viridiplantae; Streptophyta; Magnoliopsida; Brassicales; Brassicaceae
Description: ATSL196810
Source: RNAcentral